Molecule: long non-coding RNA, 1169 nt
Organism: Onychostoma macrolepis
Lineage: Eukaryota; Metazoa; Chordata; Actinopteri; Cypriniformes; Cyprinidae
Exons: 4
Source: RefSeq, a predicted model, not a curated record
UCCACUUGAUGGGAUCGAUUCCAACCUUUGGAAUCGACUCGAUUCUCAACGCCUCGGAAUCGAGGAAUCGAUUCUUUUUGGAAUCGAUUCUUUUUGGAAUCGAUUCCCAGCUCUACUUAUUUACCACAACGGGUGAUGAGGGUGUCUCCUAGUAUCCGCCCAUCGUUCUAUAGCUGUCUUUACGUUAAACGAUCAAUUUCUGGGAAAUCGCUUAUACAGAGUGACCGAACCGAACCCGUUGUUUCACUUUUAUUUUCACUUUAGAGUCAGCAUCACGGAUUCGCCAGUGAGAGAACACGCCCCGUCUCUGGACCAUGUAUGGUGAAAAAGAUAACCAAGUAGCCUAUCACACAGGAGGAGCCUAUGUAUGGGGGGUUGCAAGCCUUUUGCUCCAGUUGUGUUGAGACUACUACAGCAUAGACCUCGCUAAACUAUCGUGACUGGAAUAUUGGCUGAACUAGUGUCUGGAGGUCUGGGGUUUCAUCAUGAGACGCAGCUACCAGAGCGGAUUCUUCAAAGUGAAGAUGCCAGAUGUGUGAUGGUUGGCUGUUUUGCUGUUGGAGGAGCAUCAGUUGAUGCAUAUAUUAGGAUGCUGGGCUGUACUCUAACCAAUGAACUGGCUUCUCAGAAGAACUGGGCAGUAGGAGACCGAAAGAUCAGCAUGAACAACAACAACAAAAAAACUCAUUUAGAGACACCAGGCUCCAAGAUGUGCAUGUCAUGGCGUGCAGCAGGCUCAUGUCCGCUCCGGUGUGUCUCAUUGAAAAUGAUGAAAAUGGGCUGCUGUGUGUGAGAAAAGAGGCCAAAGACAUUCUGGAUGGGAUCAGUGAGCCGGUGGUGGUGGUGUCUGUGGUGGGACUCUAUCGUACGGGGAAGUCUUACCUUAUGAACCGCCUGGCAGGACAACAGUCCAUUUUUCAGAAAUGCUGAAAGUCUUUCUCAAGUGUGGUGCAGAUAUGAUGAUGAGGACAGAACAAAUGAGUGUGUCUGUAUCGAAGUAUCUGAAAACACUACCUACAUUAAAAUCAGAGCAUUUUAUGAAAAACAACAGUAAUAAAACAAUAUAAAAUAAAGCAAUAGAGCAAUAUAAUAAUAAAACAAGAAUAACAGGUGAAUGAUUGUGUGUGUCCUACGCUCUACUUUCCUUUUCUCUUUAUACAGACUUAAAU